AGCAGCCGCGGUAAUUCCAGCUCCAAUAGCGUAUAUUAAAGUUGUUGCAGUUAAAAAGCUCGUAGUUGAAUUUCGGGGUCAGUAGGUUGGUCAUGCCACUGGUAUGUACUGGUCUUACUGAUUCCUCCUUCCUGAUGAACUGUAAUGCCAUUAAUUUGGUGUUGCAGGGAAUCUGGACUGUUACUUUGAAAAAAUUAGAGUGUUUAAAGCAGGCUAACGCCUGAAUACAUUAGCAUGGAAUAAUGAAAUAGGACGUUCGAUCCUAUUUUGUUGGUUUCUAGGAUUGACGUAAUGAUUAAUAGGGAUAGUUGGGGGCAUUAGUAUUCAAUUGUCAGAGGUGAAAUUCUUGGAUUUAUUGAAGACUAACUACUGCGAAAGCAUUUGCCAAGGAUGUUUUCAUUAAUCAAGAACGAAGGUUAGGGGAUCGAAGACGAUCAGAUACCGUCGUAG
This 450-nucleotide ribosomal RNA is filed under the name uncultured Glomeromycotina. RNAcentral's name for it is "SSU rRNA". It matches the Rfam family "Eukaryotic small subunit ribosomal RNA", at positions 569 to 1023 of the family's 1831-position model. Lineage: Eukaryota; Fungi; Glomeromycota. The record is from RNAcentral.